GAUGAACGCUGGCGGCGUGCCUAAUACAUGCAAGUCGAGCGAACAGACGAGGAGCUUGCUCCUCUGACGUUAGCGGCGGACGGGUGAGUAACACGUGGAUAACCUACCUAUAAGACUGGGAUAACUUCGGGAAACCGGCGCUAAUACCGGAUAAUAUAUUGAACCGCAUGGUUCAAUAGUGAAAGACGGUUUUGCUGUCACUUAUAGAUGGAUCCGCGCCGCAUUAGCUAGUUGGUAAGGUAACGGCUUACCAAGGCAACGAUGCGUAGCCGACCUGAGAGGGUGAUCGGCCACACAGGAACUGAGACACGGUCCAGACUCCUACGGGAGGCAGCAGUAGGGAAUCUUGCGAAAUGGGCGAAAGCCUGACGGAGCAACGGCGCGUGAGUGAUGAAGGUCUUCGGAUCGUAAAACUCUGUUAUGAGGGAAGAACAAAUGUGUAGUAACUAUGCACGUCUUGACGGUACCUAAUCAGAAAGCCACGGCUAACUACGUG
This 496-nucleotide ribosomal RNA is filed under the name uncultured bacterium. Its description in RNAcentral is "partial 16S ribosomal RNA". It matches the Rfam family "Bacterial small subunit ribosomal RNA", at positions 28 to 507 of the family's 1533-position model. The record is from RNAcentral.